GCCCGGAUGGUGAAAUCGGUAGACACGCAGGACUUAAAAUCCUGUGGAGUAAAAUCCAUGUCGGUUCAAGUCCGACUCCGGGCA
RNAcentral lists this transfer RNA (84 nucleotides) under Acholeplasma oculi. It matches the Rfam family "tRNA". From Rfam's summary of the family: Transfer RNA (tRNA) molecules are approximately 80 nucleotides in length. Their secondary structure includes four short double-helical elements and three loops (D, anti-codon, and T loops). The record is from Rfam by way of RNAcentral. Lineage: Bacteria; Bacillati; Mycoplasmatota; Mollicutes; Acholeplasmatales; Acholeplasmataceae.